AAAAAAGUGGAGUACGCGGUGGAUCGAUCCACCACCGAACGUGUGGGUUAUAUCUGCAAACAUGACGACGAAUGCCCUUUCAAGUUGCGUGCAGUCCAGGAAGUUGGACUUUGGAGAAUCAUUAAGUUCAUUCCAAACCACACUUGUCGUUCGAAUUUGACUCGCACUGCUCCGAGAAUGGUGCCGUCUAGAGUAGUUGCUGCAUACUUUUCACGAAAAUUAUCGGUGGAGAGGAUUGUUCUAAAGCAUUAGAAAUACAUACCUGAUUCGCCUUCCCCCAUUUACUCACGUCUGUCACCAAUCCCUUCGGUGGAGUCCAAUAAUUGUACAGGCUUUUCACACCAAUACCAACUCCACUCGGCUUUGGUCCGUGGAGUUUUUCAAACUCAGUAUGCAAUACCAGCUAAAUAUGUAAAAAUGAGUUAGAUUCAACAAAAAAUAUUUAAAUUGCUAAACAAAAGAAUAUCAAAGAUUUUUGAUACUUACAUAGAAAUCACAUCCAACAAUUACUGUCGAGUUAUCUUUCACCGCCGAAGAUAUGCUAUUUUUCUUCCUCAAUCUCUCUCUCAUAUAGAUCAAAUACAAAUCAAUGAUCUGCACAGUUAAGCAAUUUAGAAUCUGCACAGUUGAAUUAGAAUGUGCACAGU
Molecule: long non-coding RNA, 647 nt
Filed under: Salvia miltiorrhiza (redroot sage)
Lineage: Eukaryota; Viridiplantae; Streptophyta; Magnoliopsida; Lamiales; Lamiaceae
Description: long non-coding RNA (SMIL_LNC006208)
Source: RNAcentral